Molecule: unclassified non-coding RNA, 74 nt
Filed under: Pseudomonas migulae
Lineage: Bacteria; Pseudomonadati; Pseudomonadota; Gammaproteobacteria; Pseudomonadales; Pseudomonadaceae
Source: RNAcentral
AAAGAUCGCAGCCUUCGGCAGCUCCUGCAUGGGAAUGCGUACACCCAUAGAAGCUGCCGAAGGCUGCGAUCUUU